Molecule: small nuclear RNA, 107 nt
Organism: Myotis lucifugus (little brown bat)
Lineage: Eukaryota; Metazoa; Chordata; Mammalia; Chiroptera; Vespertilionidae
Source: Ensembl
GUGCUUGUUGGGAGGCACAUAUAUGUACUAAAAUUGGAAUGAUACAGAGAUUAGCAUGGUCCCCGUGCAAGGAUGAAAUGCAAAUUCGUGAAGCGCCCGUGUUUUUC